Molecule: ribosomal RNA, 253 nt
Filed under: uncultured bacterium
Lineage: Bacteria
Description: partial 16S ribosomal RNA
Rfam family: Bacterial small subunit ribosomal RNA
Source: RNAcentral
UACGGGGGGGGCAAGCGUUGUUCGGAAUUACUGGGCGUAAAGGGCUCGUAGGUGGCCAACUAAGUCAGACGUGAAAUCCCUAGGCUCAACCUAGGAACUGCGUCUGAUACUGGAUGGCUUGAAUCCGGGAGAGGGAUGCAGAAUUCCAGGUGUAGCGGUGAAAUGCGUAGAUAUCUGGAGGAAUACCGGCGGCGAAGGCGGCAUCCUGGACCGGCAUUGACGCUGAGGAGCGAAAGCCAGGGGAGCAAACGGG